This is a long non-coding RNA of Saccostrea cuccullata (small rock oyster), 529 nucleotides long. RefSeq lists it as uncharacterized. The transcript is spliced from 4 exons. The record is from RefSeq and is a predicted model, not a curated record. NCBI's taxonomy places the organism in Eukaryota, Metazoa, Mollusca, Bivalvia, Ostreida, Ostreidae.
AUUAAUUGUCCACACUGAAAACAUAAAUUUGUCAUGUUGACCAGAUUUGAAGUCAUUUUCUUCCGUUCAGUUAGUCAAUACAUAAUUUGACUAUCUGUUUCCUCAACAUUACCAGUCUCUGGCCAACUUUGACUUGUGACUGGUCAUUUUAUUUAUAUUUAUUGGCGGGAAGAAACAAUAGCGUCGGUCGCCAUUUUCCUCCCAGGAAAACUCGAAGUCAUGUAUGGCAUGGACUCUCAACUACCACUGAAUGGACAAGCAAAUCAAAAUACUACAGUACAAUGCAUUGUUACGAAUAUAGACAAGAUGAAAACCACAUUAGGUACACGAAGAUGUUACCAUGAAUAGAAGAAAUAAGUUAAUCCAUUUCUGACGAAAACAGCCAAACAAGAAGAAAACAGUAAUUAACACUAAGAAGAAACAAGACCUGUGAAAAAGAAUUUGUAAUGAUCAAAGAAGAAACAACCAGUUAAUAUAUUCCUCUGAGGUGGAAAACAAAGCAACAACUUAACUGAAAGGGUGCAACGAG